UGGGUAACCUGCCCUGUACACACGGAUAACAUAACCGAAAGGUAUGCUAAUACGAGAUAAUAUACUUUUAUCGCAUGGUAGAAGUAUCAAAGCUUUUGCGGGUACAGGACGGACCCGCGUCUGAUUAGCUAGUUGGUAAGGUAACGGCUUACCAAGGCGACGAUCAGUAGCCGACCUGAGAGGGUGAUCGGCCACAUUGGAACUGAGACACGGUCCAAAUUCCUACGGGAGGCAG
Molecule: ribosomal RNA, 235 nt
Filed under: uncultured bacterium
Lineage: Bacteria
Description: partial 16S ribosomal RNA
Rfam family: Bacterial small subunit ribosomal RNA
Source: RNAcentral